UGCUAGAUCUAAUAGUCAUUUUUCAAAUGUAUUGCCAUGGAAAAAACAUCAAGGCAAACCAAGACCUGGGCUGGGGUAGAUGUGCCAGUCUCUGAGCACAGCAGUGUAACAUCGACUUAUGAACAGUACUUCCUGUCUGGGGCAGAAACUUCAAAUAGCCCAGCUACUCUGCACUCAGGCACUCGGAGAAGGGCUGGUCUCUGGGCUGGAGUGAAAACAAGAGAAAUUUCAACCUGGGGAAGAACUUUGAUCAUGCUCUUCCCUGGCCUGGUGUGGACAUUCAUAGCCUCCUUCGCCUUCAGAUCCAGCAUGGCUGACAGAGUAACCCAACCUCAGGCUACAAUUACAGCACAGGAAGGAGAAGCUGUAACCCUGCCCUGCACGUAUGAAACCACCUGGAGUACUUAUUAUUUGUACUGGUACAAGAAACCUGCCAGUGGAGAGAUGGUUCUGCUUAUUACACAGUAUUCUAGUUAUUCAAAUGCAAAGCAGGGUCGCUAUUCUGUGAACUUUCAAAAGGCAAAAAAGUCCAUCAGCCUCACCAUCUCCUCCUUGCAACUGGAAGACUCAGCGAAGUACUUCUGUGCUCUUAGAAUCCCACAGUUACAGAAACGAGAGUGGCAGCUUAACAAAAACCUUAGAGCUCCAUGAAGACAGCCACCUGCUCAGAGGCUUAGGAAACCCAGGACCCACAGACAGGAAGAAGGCGGGCUGUGUGGUGGCACCGCUGAGACCCUCUAAUGGAAACUUGCUUCUAUAAACAGUGCUGUAUAUUUAGAACAGUGUAUAAACCAGCACUCUUCCCUGAGAGUCUCAGGUCUUAUGUUUAUGUUCAGUAAAAACUGCUUUUCAAAUUGUUCCUAAACAGGUUGAACGAAUGUAUUUAUUUCAGAAAAAUCAGUAGUUUCAUAAU
This is a non-coding RNA of Manis pentadactyla (Chinese pangolin), 913 nucleotides long. Lineage: Eukaryota; Metazoa; Chordata; Mammalia; Pholidota; Manidae. The record is from the annotation of a RefSeq genome assembly.